GAGAACUGAACAUUACAAUAUGUGUGCAUGUUUUAAAUAACAAAAUUAAUAUACAAAAAAUAAAAAAAUAUCUAUAAACAUAAAAAUGUGUUGUACUGAUGCAGAUAGCAUCAAAAUUAAACUGGCCUAAAUUUUCAAUGACACUGGAUAUGUAGUAAUUUAGACUGUGCACUAAGAUCAUAACUGCAUAUGUACAUGUAUUACAUUCAUUUUAAGACAGUUUGUGAAUUUCUGUUCAGUAAUCCAGACGAGGAAAAAACAAAGUACCAAGUGCUGAAGUCGCAUCCUAGCAAUUGUACACAUUUGAUUUUAUAUACAUUAGAUAUAUAUAUAUAAAUAUAUUUUGUAUGAUAAAAAGAAAUGCAGUAAAAUGCCCCCCAUAAUGCAAAUAUUUAUCUUUCUGGGUACGAGUGCAAUUACUGAAGAUUUUGUUUUUGUUUCAACAUUUAAUGAAAAUUUUAAAGAAAUGAAGGCUUCAGGGCGAAUUCAAUUUGAUUUCCAUUAUAUAUAGUUAAUAUUUCCACGACUUGUUCACAUUACAGUGGAAACAAAUGUAAUAAUCCAUUAUAUACCCAAUGGACAUGACAAAUAUUUUUUUUUUAUCAGCACUGAUUUUUAAAUUUGUCCAAGACAUUGAUGAUAUAAAAAAAGUAAAAUCACAAAAAUACUGAACUUAGAGGAAAAUCAAUUCGGAAAGUCCAUAAUCACAUGGCAAAAUCAAAUAAAAAAACCGCAUCAAAAACGAAUGGACGAGAACUGUCAUAUUCCUGACUUGUACAGGCAUUUUCAAAUGUAGAAAAUGGUGGAUUAAACCUGGUUUUAUAGCGCUAACCCUCUCACUUUGAUGACAGUAAUACACCUAUAAUAUAGAUUGCAUAACUAUCUUGCAAGAACUGUACCCAUGAGAUCACUAACAAUGUGAUUUUCCUAGGUAACAUAUUACUUAGGGGCAUAACGUUUUUUACAAGAAUUGAUCGGCACUGAUUUUCAAACUCGUCAAAGAAAUUGUUAAUAUAAACCUAUAAUACAAAUGUUCACAUUUGAGUG
This 1047-nucleotide long non-coding RNA is filed under the name Mytilus galloprovincialis (Mediterranean mussel). The record is from RNAcentral. Lineage: Eukaryota; Metazoa; Mollusca; Bivalvia; Mytilida; Mytilidae.